RNAcentral lists this ribosomal RNA (434 nucleotides) under uncultured Lachnospiraceae bacterium. RNAcentral describes it as "partial 16S ribosomal RNA". It matches the Rfam family "Bacterial small subunit ribosomal RNA", at positions 341 to 792 of the family's 1533-position model. The record is from RNAcentral. Lineage: Bacteria; Bacillati; Bacillota; Clostridia; Lachnospirales; Lachnospiraceae.
ACGGGAGGCAGCAGUGGGGAAUAUUGCACAAUGGGGGAAACCCUGAUGCAGCAACGCCGCGUGAGUGAUGAAGUAUUUCGGUAUGUAAAGCUCUAUCAGCAGGGAAGAAAAUGACGGUACCUGACUAAGAAGCCCCGGCUAACUACGUGCCAGCAGCCGCGGUAAUACGUAGGGGGCAAGCGUUAUCCGGAUUUACUGGGUGUAAAGGGUGCGUAGACGGCUGUGCAAGUCAGAAGUGAAAUCCCGGGGCUUAACCCCGGUGCUGCUUUUGAAACUGUACGGCUAGAGUGCUGGAGGGGCAAGCGGAAUUCCUGGUGUAGCGGUGAAAUGCGUAGAUAUCAGGAGGAACACCGGUGGCGAAGGCGGCUUGCUGGACAGUAACUGACGUUGAGGCACGAAAGCGUGGGGAGCAAACAGGAUUAGAUACCCUGGUA